This 443-nucleotide ribosomal RNA is filed under the name uncultured bacterium. RNAcentral's name for it is "SSU rRNA". It matches the Rfam family "Bacterial small subunit ribosomal RNA", at positions 26 to 518 of the family's 1533-position model. The record is from RNAcentral.
AGAGCGAACGCUGGCGGCAGGCCUAACACAUGCAAGUCGAGCGCCCCGCAAGGGGAGCGGCAGACGGGAGAGUAACACGUGGGAACGUACCCUUCAGUUCGGAACAACCCAGGGAAACUUGGGCUAAUACCGAAUACGUCCGUAAGGAGAAAGAUUUAUCGCUGAAGGAUCGGCCCGCGUCUGAUUAGCUUGUUGGUGAGGUAAUGGCUCACCAAGGCUACGAUCAGUAGCUGGUCUGAGAGGAUGAUCAGCCUCACUGGGACUGAGACACGGCCCAGACUCCUACGGGAGGCAGCAGUGGGGAAUAUUGGACAAUGGGCGCAAGCCUGAUCCAGCCAUGCCGCGUGGGUGAUGAAGGCCCUAGGGUUGUAAAGCCCUUUCGGCGGGGAAGAUAAUGACGGUACCCGCAGAAGAGCCCCGGCUAACUUCGCGCCAGCAGCCGC